Molecule: long non-coding RNA, 2706 nt
Filed under: Homo sapiens (human)
Lineage: Eukaryota; Metazoa; Chordata; Mammalia; Primates; Hominidae
Description: HSALNT0055077
Source: RNAcentral
UCAGAGAGAGGAAGUAAAUUGCUCAGGUUCACUCAGCUAGGAAGCAACAGAUCAGGAUUCGAGCCCAGUCCAAAAUCAUAAUUCACUCCCUUGAAAAGCCAAAAGAGAGAGAGAACAGGGCCAGACGGGGUGGCGUCAGGAGGGUUGUGGGUCCCCUGGCUGCUGUGCAGAGCUUACAUCGGGCGCUCAAAGGAGCCCGAGCCAACCACUGCCCAAGAGAUUCUACCAAGAUGAAAAUGGUUCCUCCCCAGCCACAGUUCCAUCACCUGCGUGAUGGGACGAGAGACUGGAUCAGGUGUUCUCCACAGCCGGUUAUGAAGUGAUCCCAGGCCUGGGUCUCCUGAUGAGUCCAUCUGACUUCCACUCUCCAGCACCCCCAGGGUUUACUGCUUCCAUCCUGCUGACAGCCAUAUGCUCUUCUCUGGCUGAUUCAAGACAAAAGAAGAUAGGAUGACAAAGCAGAAGACCAGAGAGAAAGAGAUUUGAAGAUGCUACCCUGCUGGCUUUGGAGAUGGAAGCAAGGGCCAUGAGCCAAGAGGUGUAUGUGGCUUUUGGAAGCAGGUCAACGAGAAGAAUGCCUGGGAGUUGGCUGGACCUGCUUUGUGUCUCUGCUUUAUGCUGUACAAGCUGCAUGUCCUUGGGCUAACGUCUUCACCUCUCUGGGCCUUGGUUCUUUCAACCAUGGUUGUGGAGAUGGCAAAACCUGAUCUUAGCCUUUUUUGAGGACUAAGUGAGUUAAUACAUGUAAAAUACUUAAAGCAGUAAGCCCCUUUUUGUUGUUGUUUGUUUGUUUCUUGAGAUGAAAUCUCGCUCUGUCACCCAGGCUGGAGUGCAGUGGUGCGAUCUCGGCUCACUGUAACCUCCGCCUCCCAGGUUCUAGCGAUUCUACUGCCUCAGCCUCCCAAGUAGGCCCUUUUGAAGCACUCAGCAAAUGGUGGCUUUUAUUAUUAUCUGAAACAUUAAUUUCCUUAAGAAAUUAUACUGUGUAGUAUCUCUUGGAAUUAAAUAGGGAGAAAUGUCCCCAAAAUCAUUAAAUAAAUAACACAACUUAGAAAACUGCAGUUUCACCAACCUAAAUUCUCAUGUUUUGCUUUGAAAUGUUGAAUACUGUUUUUUUUGUUUUUUUUUUAAGGCAGAAUUUCACUCUUACUGCCCAGCUUGGAGGGCAACGGCGCCAUCUUGGCUCACUGCAACCUCUGCCUCCCAGGUUCAAGUGAUUCUCCUGCUUCAGCCUCUCGAGUACUUGUGAUUACAGGCAUGCGCCACCACGCCCGGCUAAUUUUGUAUGUUUUUUUAGUACAGACGGGAUUUCACCAUGUUAGUCAGGCUGGUCUCAAACUCCUGACCUCAGGUGAUCCACCCACCUUGGCCUCCCAAAGUACUGGGAUUACAGGUGUGAGCCACUGCUCCCAGACAGAAACAUUAAAGUCUUUACUCACAUAGGCAGAAGAGCUAGGGCAGAGGUGAGAGGUUUGGGGCAAAUAUUUCCUGCUUCUCACCCUGGUGGACAUACCAAGUCAACCUUCGCUCUGAGAACACCUAGACAUGGCCUAGAAAGAUGAGCUGAAAUUUGAAGUUGCCCUCAGGCUUUGAGGUGGGACUCUAAUAACCAUGAUUAAUGCAUUCAGGGAAUAACAUGACAAGAAUGUCAGCAGAAAACUAGGAACUAUAAAAAAGAAUCAUAUGGAAAUUCCAGAACUGAAAAAUAUGAUACUGAAAUUAAGAUUUGCAGUUAUUAAAAUCACAGACUGUGAGCCACACUGCCCAGGUUUAAGUCCAGGCUCCAGUCUCUGCCAUGUACAAUGCCACACCUGUUUCUUUCUUUCUGUUUUUUUUUUUAAUCGAUGUAAAACUCACAUAACACAAUAAAUUAUUUUGAAAUGUACAAUUUGGCCAGGCGCGGUGGCUGUCUCUACUAAAAGUACAAAAAAUACAAAAAGUACAAAAAUUAGCCAGGUGUAGUGGCAGGUGCCUGUAAUCCCAACUACUCAGGAAGCUGGGGCAGGAGAAUCACUUGAACCCGGGAAGCAGAGGUUGCAGUGAGCUGAGAUCGUGACACUGCACUCCAGCCUGGGCGACAAGAGCAAGACUCUGUCUCAAAAAAAAAAAAAAAAAAUAUGGCUGCGUGAGGUGGCUCACGCCUGUAAUCCCAGCACUUUGGGAGGCCAAGGCAGGCGGAUCACAAUGUCAGGAGUUGGAGACCAGCCUGAUCAACACGGUGAAACCCCAUCUCUACUAAAAAUACAAAAAUUAGCCAGGCGUGGUGGCGCACGCCUGUAAUCCCAGCUACUCGGGAAGCUGAGGCAGGAGAAUUGCUUGAACUAAGGAGGCAGAAGUUGCAGUGAGUUGAGAUUGCGCCACUGUACUCCAGCCUAUUUAUUAAAAAAAUAAUAAUAAAAUAAAAUAAACACAUAAUAUGUGACUUUUUUUGUUUGGCUUCUUUCACUUAGCAUGUUUUUCAGGUUCAUCCAUGUUGUAGCAUGUAUCAGUAUUUCAUUCCUUUUUGUGGCUGAAUAAUAUUUCAUUGUAUAGCUAUACCAUGUUUUGUUUAUCCAUUCAUCCAUUGAUGAACAUCUGGGUCGUUUCUGUGUUUUGGCUAGUAUGAAUAAUGUUGCUAUAAACAUUCGUGUACAAGUUUCUGUGUGUGCAUACAUUUUCAUUUCUUGGGUACAUACCUGGGUGUGGAGUAAGUCUUUGUUCCUUUUU